UAUGUGAUCGUCUCUCGCAUAUCAAUAAGCGGAGGAAAAGAAACUAACAAGGAUUCCCCUAGUAACGGCGAGUGAAGCGGGAAGAGCUCAAAUUUGAAAUCUUAAAGGGUUUCCCUUUACGAAUUGUAGUUUAAAGAAGUGUUUUCUGUUGAGGUUUUGGUAAAAGUUCUUUGGAAUAGGACAUCAUAGAGGGUGAGAAGUCCCGUAUUUGACCUUUACUUUCAACUUUGUGAUACACUUUCAAAGAGUCGGAUUGUUUGGGAAUGCAGUCCAAAAUGGGUGGUAAAUUUCAUCUAAAGCUAAAUAUUGGCGAGAGACCGAUAGCGAACAAGUACCGUGAGGGAAAGAUGAAAAGAACUUUGAAAAGAGAGUUAAACAGUACGUGAAAUUGUCAAAAGGGAAGCGUUUGACACCAGUGUUGUUUUUCUGAAAAUCAAUUAAAGAACUGUUUAUGCUAAGCUGUUUAGACUUUAUCAGCUAUCUGUUUAGUUUUGAGCUUUUCUUUAAUGCACUUUUCAGUUAACAAGUCAACAUCAAUUUCUUUUGCUGUAAAAAAGCUUGAGGAAGGUGGCUUGAGAUUCGUCUUAAGUGUUUAUAGCCUCUUGCCUAUGCAGUCGGAGAGAUUGAGGUACUGCAGCGUAGAUCCUUCGGGGCUAAAUGCAUUUGUGCUAAGUUAUAGCAUUUUAUAGACAACUUGUUGACUAUGAUUUGUCUUGUAGCUUACUCGCUUAUGUUAUUUUACCUACGCUUAGGAUGUUGAUAUGCAUGACUGAUAU
This 776-nucleotide ribosomal RNA is filed under the name uncultured Neocallimastigales. RNAcentral describes it as "partial large subunit ribosomal RNA". It matches the Rfam family "Eukaryotic large subunit ribosomal RNA", at positions 24 to 640 of the family's 3401-position model. Lineage: Eukaryota; Fungi; Neocallimastigomycota; Neocallimastigomycetes; Neocallimastigales. The record is from RNAcentral.